This 974-nucleotide ribosomal RNA is filed under the name uncultured archaeon. RNAcentral describes it as "partial 16S ribosomal RNA". It matches the Rfam family "Archaeal small subunit ribosomal RNA", at positions 43 to 999 of the family's 1478-position model. The record is from RNAcentral.
UCUAAGCCAUGCGAGUCUACUCACGGGCUUCCGUGGGUGGCACACUGCUGAGUAACACGUAGUCAACCUGCCCCAAGGAGGGGGAUAACCUCGGGAAACUGAGGCUAACACCACAUAGGCCAUCUAUGCUGGAAUGCUUGAUGGCCCAAAAGGCCGGCAAAUUGCAGCCGGUCCGCCUUGGGAUGGGACUGCGGGGGAUUAGGUAGUUGGUAGGGUAACGGCCUACCAAGCCGAUAAUCUCUAGGGGCCAUGAGAGUGGUGGCCCCCAGAAGGGCACUGAGACAAGGGCCCUAGUCCUACGGGAUGCAGCAGGCGCGAAACCUCUGCAAUGCGCGAAAGCGUGACAGGGGAACUCCGAGUGACGGAAACUUAGUUUCCGCCUUUUGCCAAGUGUAAACAGCUUGGAGAAUAAGGGUGUGGGCAAGACUGGUGGCAGCCGCCGCGGUAACACCAGCGCCUCGAGUGGUACCCACGUAUACUGGGCCUAAAGCGUCCGUAGCCGGCCUGAAAAGUCCUCUGUGAAAUAGUGGGGCUCAACUCCACUGCGCGCAGGGGAUACUGCCGGGCUUGGGAGCGGGGGAGGCAGGGGGUACACCUAGGGUAGGGGUAAAAUCCGUUGAGCCUAGGUGGACCACCAGUGGCGAAGGCGCCCUGCCAAAACGCGUCCGACGGUGAGGGACGAAAGCUGGGGGAGCGAACGGGAUUAGAUACCCCGGUAGUCCAGGGUGUAAACGCUGUGCGCUUGGUGUUGGGGGUCCUACGAGGGCACCCAGUGCCGGAGAGAAGUUGUUAAGCGCACCGCCUGGGGAGUACGGUCGCAAGACUGAAACUUAAAGGAAUUGGCGGGGGAGCACCGCAACGGGAGGAGCGUGCGGUUUAAUUGGAUUCAACGCCGAAAAACUCACCAGGGGCGACUGCCAUAUGAAGGCCAAGCUGAUGACUUUGCCUGAUUGGUAGAGAGGAGGUGCAUGGCC